UGGGGAAUAUUGCACAAUGGGCGCAAGCCUGAUGCAGCAACGCCGCGUGAGGGAUGACGGCCUUCGGGUUGUAAACCUCUUUUAGCAGGGAAGAAGCGAAAAGUGACGGUACCUGCAGAAAAAGCGCCGGCUAACUACGUGCCAGCAGCCGCGGUAAUACGUAGGGCGCAAGCGUUAUCCGGAAUUAUUGGGCGUAAAGAGCUCGUAGGCGGUUUGUCGCGUCUGCUGUGAAAUCCCGAGGCUCAACCUCGGGUCUGCAGUGGGUACGGGCAGACUAGAGUGCGGUAGGGGAGAUUGGAAUUCCUGGUGUAGCGGUGGAAUGCGCAGAUAUCAGGAGGAACACCGAUGGCGAAGGCAGAUCUCUGGGCCGUAACUGACGCUGAGGAGCGAAAGGGUGGGGAGCAAACAGGCUUACAUACCCUGGUAGUCCACCCCGUAAACGUUGGGAACUAGUUGUGGGGUCCAUUCCACGGAUUCCGUGACGCAGCUAACGCAUUAAGUUCCCCGCCUGGGGAGUACGGCCGCAAGGCU
Molecule: ribosomal RNA, 531 nt
Filed under: uncultured bacterium
Lineage: Bacteria
Description: partial 16S ribosomal RNA
Rfam family: Bacterial small subunit ribosomal RNA
Source: RNAcentral